UAGGGAAUCUUCGGCAAUGGACGAAAGUCUGACCGAGCAACGCCGCGUGAGUGAAGAAGGUUUUCGGAUCGUAAAACUCUGUUGGUAGAGAAGAACGUUGGUGAGAGUGGAAAGCUCAUCAAGUGACGGUAACUACCCAGAAAGGGACGGCUAACUACGUGCCAGCAGCCGCGG
This 174-nucleotide ribosomal RNA is filed under the name uncultured bacterium. Its description in RNAcentral is "partial 16S ribosomal RNA". It matches the Rfam family "Bacterial small subunit ribosomal RNA", at positions 355 to 520 of the family's 1533-position model. The record is from RNAcentral.